RNAcentral lists this ribosomal RNA (771 nucleotides) under Streptomyces cirratus. Its description in RNAcentral is "bacterial SSU rRNA". It matches the Rfam family "Bacterial small subunit ribosomal RNA", at positions 68 to 853 of the family's 1533-position model. The record is from RNAcentral. Lineage: Bacteria; Bacillati; Actinomycetota; Actinomycetes; Kitasatosporales; Streptomycetaceae.
GAUGAAGCCCUAUCGGGGUGGAUUAGUGGCGAACGGGUGAGUAACACGUGGGCAAUCUGCCCUUCACUCUGGGACAAGCCCUGGAAACGGGGUCUAAUACCGGAUAAUACUCCUGCCUGCAUGGGUGGGGGUUGAAAGCUCCGGCGGUGAAGGAUGAGCCCGCGGCCUAUCAGCUUGUUGGUGGGGUAAUGGCCCACCAAGGCGACGACGGGUAGCCGGCCUGAGAGGGCGACCGGCCACACUGGGACUGAGACACGGCCCAGACUCCUACGGGAGGCAGCAGUGGGGAAUAUUGCACAAUGGGCGAAAGCCUGAUGCAGCGACGCCGCGUGAGGGAUGACGGCCUUCGGGUUGUAAACCUCUUUCAGCAGGGAAGAAGCGAAAGUGACGGUACCUGCAGAAGAAGCGCCGGCUAACUACGUGCCAGCAGCCGCGGUAAUACGUAGGGCGCAAGCGUUGUCCGGAAUUAUUGGGCGUAAAGAGCUCGUAGGCGGCUUGUCACGUCGGAUGUGAAAGCCCGAGGCUUAACCUCGGGUCUGCAUUCGAUACGGGCUAGCUAGAGUGUGGUAGGGGAGAUCGGAAUUCCUGGUGUAGCGGUGAAAUGCGCAGAUAUCAGGAGGAACACCGGUGGCGAAGGCGGAUCUCUGGGCCAUUACUGACGCUGAGGAGCGAAAGCGUGGGGAGCGAACAGGAUUAGAUACCCUGGUAGUCCACGCCGUAAACGUUGGGAACUAGGUGUUGGCGACAUUCCACGUCGUCGGUGCCGCAGCU